CUCAGGAGGCAGCUCUCUCGGAAUAUCUCCACCAUGGCCUGGGCUCUGCUCCUCCUCACCCUCCUCACUCAGGGCACAGGAUCCUGGGCUCAGUCUGCCCUGACUCAGCCUCCCUCCGUGUCCGGGUCUCCUGGACAGUCAGUCACCAUCUCCUGCACUGGAACCAGCAGUGACGUUGGUAGUUAUAACCGUGUCUCCUGGUACCAGCAGCCCCCAGGCACAGCCCCCAAACUCAUGAUUUAUGAGGUCAGUAAUCGGCCCUCAGGGGUCCCUGAUCGCUUCUCUGGGUCCAAGUCUGGCAACACGGCCUCCCUGACCAUCUCUGGGCUCCAGGCUGAGGACGAGGCUGAUUAUUACUGCAGCUUAUAUACAAGCAGCAUCACUGUGUUAUGUCUUCGGAACUGGGACCAAGGUCACCGUCCUAGCCCAAGGCCAACCCCACUGUCACUCUGUUCCCGCCCUCCUCUGAGGAGCUCCAAGCCAACAAGGCCACACUAGUGUGUCUGAUCAGUGACUUCUACCCGGGAGCUGUGACAGUGGCCUGGAAGGCAGAUGGCAGCCCCGUCAAGGCGGGAGUGGAGACCACCAAACCCUCCAAACAGAGCAACAACAAGUACGCGGCCAGCAGCUACCUGAGCCUGACGCCCGAGCAGUGGAAGUCCCACAGAAGCUACAGCUGCCAGGUCACGCAUGAAGGGAGCACCGUGGAGAAGACAGUGGCCCCUACAGAAUGUUCAUAGGUUCCCAACUCUAACCCCACCCACGGGAGCCUGGAGCUGCAGGAUCCCAGGGGAGGGGUCUCUCUCCCCAUCCCAAGUCAUCCAGCCCUUCUCCCUGCACUCAUGAAACCCCAAUAAAUAUCCUCAUUGACA
This 872-nucleotide long non-coding RNA is filed under the name Homo sapiens (human). RNAcentral's name for it is "long non-coding RNA NONHSAT192104.1". The stretch from base 1 to 83 matches the Rfam family "mir-650 microRNA precursor family". Lineage: Eukaryota; Metazoa; Chordata; Mammalia; Primates; Hominidae. The record is from RNAcentral.